UAUCAUGAGCUUUGUCCCAAUUUCCUCAUGAGAUACGCCCCUUUCUCAUGAGGAAAUUGGGACAAUCCUCAUGAGAAUUAUGGCUCAUGAGCCGAAAUUCAUGCGUACAAGAUCAUGAGAUCCGACCUUUUCUCAUGAGCCUCGACCCUGACUUUUCUCAUGAGCCUCCUGAUCUUGCCUCAUGAAGCUCUUGAUCUUUUCUCAUGAGCCUCGUGAGAUCACGCUCGUGAGACGACCGCUCGCUGUCCAGACAAUGUAGGUUAUUUACGCAUGCGUGCCAAGGGAAAUAGUCGGUGUGGCUGUGCAGAUGCGCGUAUGGAGUGAAUUCGUCGCUGUUUCCUCGGUAAUUUACUUUUAACAGUUAUAUUUAGUCAACAACUAUAGUGAUACUCUAGCUAGUAAAGUUUCUCUUUGAUCUAGCUAUGCUUGUGCUUGUUGCUAGACACUUUGUUUACAGCUCACCAAAGCUCGUGCUCGUGGAAGCGGAUCUCCCGGAUAGAAUAAUUGAACCAGCGCUAACACAACGGAGAAAGUAGCACGCGCGCACACACACACGCACACACACGCGCGCGCGCGCGCGUUUAUGCUUUAGUUAAUUAAGGAACGUUAAUUUGCAGUGGUAACAUGUUGAAUCCUCUCAGAAGAUACAUUUGCUCUUUCACCUGUGUCUUUUUAGAAAGCAAACAUCUUGAGACUGGGAGAUGUCACAUAGAGUUCCAGAUGACUUGAAGGGAAAUGGUCAAUAUUCUUCAUUGAAGUAUGACACACUAUUUAGGAGAAACAAUUAUACAAGUUUACAAGAGACGAUGAUGCAAAUGCUGAAAUAUUGUACAUAUUUCUGUCUGUUGGAACCUAGCUGGAAGGAUGAGAAGUUUGAACAUGAUCUAACAGCAUCAGUUGUUCAUCCACUAAGAAAUGUUGGUCCUUGUGCUCUUGUUGAAGCAGCUAUGCAAGACGAUGUGAUCACAAACUGGCCAAUUGAGACCUGUAGUUAGCGCAAAGGCUAGAAUAUCUUGAGCUACUUUCUGUAAAUAGAUUACUUUGCAAGUGCGCAUCAAUACUUAAUUGUGAGGGGAGACAUGUAAUUGUUGAAACUCUCAAUGAUAUCGAAGUAGAUCUGUAAUCAUAGAGACCACGCUGCAUGUGAACUUAAUUGAUACAAAUAUAACUAGAAUGGAAA
Long non-coding RNA from Corticium candelabrum, 1180 nucleotides. RefSeq lists it as uncharacterized. The transcript has 2 exons. The record is from RefSeq and is a predicted model, not a curated record. Lineage: Eukaryota; Metazoa; Porifera; Homoscleromorpha; Homosclerophorida; Plakinidae.